GUGAACGUUUUAGUAGGUUGAAUCGCUGGUGUCGGAUAGUUAUAGGAUCCUGCGGAGGUAUGCUUCAUUGGAAAUUCUUAUAUCCAAGAAUUUCCGUAUUGUUGUCUUUCCAAUCCGGUUUUGAAACUAAACGGUGUUGCUAAGGAUGAGGGGAAAAAGAACAGUUUUAAACCGUUGACGAAAACGAAGUUGGACGGGUUGCAUGGAACCCAACAUAGUAGAACAUAAGGGUAUCCAUCCUUCGACUUGAUUUAAAUCGACAAGGUUGUGUGGCGUUGGUCGGCCGAAGAACCCAAUGUUUUAAGAUACUCUUCUACUCGGUAGAAACUGUCGCGUAUCAAAGAAGAGUUCUAAGAAUAAGCAAAGUGAAAUUGUUUGAACGUAAUUUCUGUAACGUGUCCUAUGAUCUUCUUCCCAACUUGGUUUUACAAUUGACGUUUAAAAGAAAACCAAAAAAAAAGGCUCCAACGUCCGGGAGUAAAUCGAAUUGAACAAGAAAACUGUCCGACUUCGGGCCAAAAUUACUUCUUGGAAUGCGAUCUACAAUCCAGUAAGUAACGCUUGAAAAAAAUUACAAUUGCUCGAGCACAACCACUGCAACCAACCGAGAUGCUUGCUUUCUGCAUUAAUAAAACUCCAAGUAAACGCUUCGGAGAAAGCAAAACCAUUCCUUUUCUCAACACCACUUUGCACUUCCUGCGUUCAGAACCGAUAAUCUUCCUCUUUUUCCAUCUUCUUACGGCCGACCAAUUUUAGGUAGGCAUUGAGAGAGACCUCCAACGCUUUCAACGAAUCUGGUAUAAUAUUUUUCUGUUCGAACCGGAAUUGUUUGAUCAAGAAAGUAAUCGAAGAAUGUAAAAACUACCGUGAUGAAUCUAUCGAUCGCAGAAGCUAUAAAUUUUAGGUAGAUACCAAACGAGAUUUUCUACUCUCAAUGAAUCUAAUAAUAGUCGUGUUUCCAAGUUUCAAUCAGACUCAUAAAGAAAAUAAUUAAAGAAUGUAAAAAGUGCCAUGAUAAAUCUAUCGACCGAAAAGAUAAUAAAGGGAGACGAACGAGGAAAAACGAUGCAUGUAUAAUUGCUAUACCACGCAAUAUCGUUUAAGUUCUUCUCCCCUUCGACUAACUCCGUAAUAGGUGUGAGCACUAAAGGGGUCGACGUCCCUUUCGUAAACAGAUCGCUUACGCUCAAGGACGUUAGUAUGUAUAGUACGCAUUGUACGCGCAUAUGAUUACCCUUUGCAGUCAACUGUUCUAAUAUUCCUAUAAACACUAUUGCAGAUUAUCAAUUGAUUUUAGAGCAACUCGAAUGAAACGAUGCGAUCAUCGCAACGAAUUAUGAAUGAUAACUUAUGAAAAGUAGCAGGUAACGUACUAAUUAUUUUUUUAAUAUUCUGUAAAAAUUUUAUUUCGCGAAACAAGAGAAGAAGGGAAGAGACAUUUUACGAUGCGCUUCCUCGAGUAACAUCCAAUUACAUCAAAUAUUGCGGCAAAAUAAUAAUCCAUUAAAAUCUAUAUCGAUUUUGCACUUUCUACACAUUAUGAACGGCAAAGAUUGUUACGACAAACUCGUCUUGUAAAAAGUGUUAAUGACCGAUAUUGUUCCAUUAUUCAAUAGUCGUCCGAACAGCGAGGCCUUACCUCUCGAUGUAACGGUUGUCUGUAUCUAAAGAAUAAGUUUCAUCGCCACGUACCAAUUACUCUAGUGUGCGAUGAUCACGACUGAUUAAUAUCCUGAAUUGUUUACACGGUAGCAAUAAGUUCUUUUGCCAUUUCUACUCGCCGGUUGAACGCCAAACGUCAGUGCGAAUACUGCUAGCAAUAAUUUUGCUUCAGUCAAAUAGAACAUUCUGGAACAGUCAAAUUACAUCAGCAUCUCCAUCGGUCUCUUCGUAGAGAUGACAGUGUACGUUACGAACAUUUUUCGUACUUCAUAUUCAUCCCGAAACGAAGACGUAGUAUCAUUAAGGGUGCUUUACACAAGCAACAUAAUACCAGGUUUGUCAAUGGCUACGUAAUUUUGGCACAGGGAACCAUGAUCUCUUAAUGAAUGUUUGUGUAACCGGUUCCCUGGUCAGUUUCGUACAUAAAACCCACGUGAAUAUGCUGCACCAACGGUGCAGCAUAUUUUUAAAUUAUCCGUUCAAAUACUAAGUAUGUUUAUUGUAUUUGCUCCCCGAAAGAACUGCUACUCUCUUAAAAGCCUUUACGAUGGAAGAAACUACGCUCACAUAAAUCUGAUUUGUAACCUUCCUUCGCUUCGUAUUCGCUGACAUUCUCGUGUACAUUCUAAACUAUAUUAUAUAUAUUUGAAGCUUAUAGAAACAAAGUAAGAGUAUCCCGCGUAAAGUUGCAAAGUAUCGCACGUGGAACUUAACUAGCCGGAAUCUAUAUAUCGAUUCGUAAACUGGCAGCAAAUUUCUUCGAUAGUGUUGUUCCCUCGUGAAAACAAAGUUCUCAACAAUGUUACUUCUCUCUAUCUACCCUGGACAGGAUGAUCGUAAACUACCGAGAAACGGGAUGAACAGGAGCCAGAAAUCGAUUCGCGAUUUUUCAUCUUCGUUACCUGAUACCACCUUUUCCUGCGGCAAGUGGAGCACGUAUACGCUUAUUCGCCGGUGCUGCCCUCUACAGUUUCCUUUCAUUGGCCCCUUAUCUCCGACCGAUGGUGAAUCACCGCGGCCAACACCGAUGCCCAGAGAAAGAGACAGUCGGAAAAAGGAGAGAGGUCCAUGGUGAUGCUUAGCACGUGUGUGUGGUGGACAUGAAAUAACCGAGGUAGAACGCGAGAGACAGAGUAGGGAGAAACUGGAGUCGGAGGGGAAGCGUUAUGCAGAGAAAGAGAAGGGGAGUAGGAGAAAGAACCAUGGGCAUGGUGUUGACCGGGCUUUGAACCCUGAUCCCACUGGAGUACUACGCCGUAGUACGGCCUCCCUCCAGAUUGUUUCGUCCACUCUUCUCGGUUUACCACACUAUCAACCCUGCUUCGUCUCCACCCUUUCUUUCAUACUCCGCCAACAACAAUCUUACCAUUUUUCGAUACUUUCUGUCCCUGGACAGUUUCGUACUCGACGAAAAUCUAACCUAAAGGACAUAAAGAAGCUACGAAAAGGUUCUAGGUGACCUUGAUGUGCCUUUCGCGGAUCACUGAAAAUGUUUACAAACAGUAUACCAACCAGUCUUAGAUGUCUAUCGUCGGAAUUAACGGUAAACGUGUACGAACGUUUCAUUGAGGAAAUAUACACGAUGCGAAGCACGAUGCAAUUAACCUUCAUUCGUGUUAAUAAUUAGGACGUCUAGAAGGAUUGGAAGAGCGAUUAUAGGGGAUAAAAAGUUGGAUAAAAAAAAAUGGUCUGUUAGGAAGAGACCAAACACAGAAGCAGAAGGCACGAAGCACAGACGCCGCGUGUACCUUACAAAGAGGCACAAGCGAGCUCCUCGUCUUGCGCAUCCUCGAAGACUUCGAAUCACAGGCAACUACCGCUUUGUCCUUACUUGAAGAGGCGGACGGUAGGGGAUGGGAUGAUGUUCACCGAUGGUGGGGCAAGAAAGAUGAGCAGGGUAGGAAGGCAGGGAAGGUGGAGGACCGUUGCACUGACCGGGCUUUGAACCCACUAUGUGGUAAACAACAGAAACCCAUAUUGGAAUUUGGGGAAUUCUUUAGACAGUAGUGGACGGGUCUACGAACAGGGCACUCUCAUUCAAGAAUGAACGUCGAAAUGUGAGCGUAUCGUCUAAAAAUACUGUUGGUGGGCCGAGGUGCGCCUAGCAACAGAGAUUGCAUAGAAGCAUAACUAUAGUGAACGUGCGUGUUUAUACGCCGAGGCACAACGAGGACAUGAGUUACGGAAAAAGGAGCCUGACAAAUAAAACUUCUUCGUUUCUAUAAAACAAUUUUUAAAAUUUUAACAAAUAACCAGUUCGUAUCGAAUUGAACUUCCUAUUCGUUGUAUAUUUAACAAUUAUUCCAUUAUACUUAAAACUAUAUAUGUAGUAGGUUCAUGUAGAAAAAGUUUUCGUAUCGAUGUUUAGUAUUUAAAUCGAAUUGAAAAUGUAGAAAAUAAAUAACAUAUCAUGUUUAACUAGUGUGAAAAAAAACUUGUACAGUAUGAUGUAUAAAAAGAUGUGUGAUAAAAGACAGGACAUAUUUUUAUGCGUCUUCUCGAGGCACGAGACGAGUGUAUAUACAGAUAAACAUUCAAAAGAGCAGAUUACAGAAAAAUACACGCACUGUAUUUUAAAGAAUAGUCGUCUUAGUCCAAAAUAACCAUAUAGUUCUUUAUAUGUAUAAAAAAAACAGUAAAAAAUAAUUUUUAAAAAUUUGCCUUUCCACGUUGUUUACAGAAAUUGAAGACAUACGUCGAUUUGAAUCUAUUAUUGAAAUUUUCAAUGUUUCAUUGAUUGCUUGUAUCUACCCAAGGAAAAAGUGUGAUUCACUAAAGAAAUUCUUGCAUAAUCCUCUGACCUCGAUUUUGUAUUCGCGCGACGAUCCAAUAACUCAAAUUGAUAUUAAACGCGUUGCUCCGGCCAACGUUCGAUGCAUUAUUUUCAUCUGACAUAUAAUGAGAAACGUGAUUAUGAAAUCGCGUUAACAACCAUAGAUUCGUAUGACAAUUGAACAAUUAUGAAAAUACAUAUCGUGUAUGCAUUUUGUAUUUAAAAUGAGCCAACUUUGUAUCAACAUCCUCCGUUCGAUGUUAAUUUACUUGCAAAUUUGACCAUACGAGGCGAUCGUUGUUUGUAUUUCGUGUUCAUAACCAUCAAUUUAAAAUUAAUAUAGCAAAUUAUUUUUCUUUUUUAAUUCGAUGUAAAUCAACUUUCUUUCGAUCAGGAUUUAUACAUUUUGUAGUAUUUAAGAACAAAUGAUUGCGAUAAUUAUGUAAACAUUUAAUAUACUUGUUAUUAUAUAUUUUUAAUUAAUAGAUUCUAUUCGUCCUUCAAAAUGUUUCGCUUUAAAACGAAAAAAAAAAAGAAAAUCAAAUUGUCACUUACCAAAGCCAAAUACAUGCAGGUCCAGCAGCACCUGUUUCUUAGUCAGCUUCGACUAUUCUGUUGCAUACAACUUCCGCCGUUGCACCUGCACCUGUCUCAAUUUUUUCACUACGAAUAAAUUUUCAAUGCUCCUGAUUCAGCGUAGGGAGAUUGUACAGAAGAUUCUGAUUGUGGAUUCAGGAGAUUCUAGGAAGCGUAUUCUGCUGUAACAAGGAAAUGAUACAUGUGAAAAAGGAUGCCAAGGAAUCAAACUAAUUACUAUGAAGGGUAUGAAAAGGUGUUUGAUUGGUGUGGGUAAGGGAGAGACAAAGCAUUAUUAUAUCGAAAACUGAACUUCAAUUUUCCUUCUACCACCACGUGUAAGUCAGAUAAAGUACAAUUUAACCCAACAAUUUACAAAUGACGUACAUGUAACACAGGUUUGGAUGCCAGGCGUGUAAAGAAAAGAUACCAAGCAUUUUUAGAUAAAUCUUUUUUUAAUAAACAUAGGCAUUCACUUAUGAAGGUUAGUUUUUUAGACUCUCUUACGAUUAUGGUUUAUAUAAUAUAUUGUCGUUACAGAUAGAAUUCUUACGCGAAUACCAACUGGAUAUGAGGCACUGGGUAUUUCUGCUCACCCUUUUUAUUUUGACAUUCACCCACACAAACAAACAUCGUGCACACGUGCUCAAACAUAUGCAACCUUUCAUACUCUUUCUAUUGGGACUUUUACGUCACGUUUGAAACGCACAUAUACAUCUAUGCUUAUUACAAAUAAGAAGUACACGCUAAGUUAUGUUUACUGAGAUCAUACUAAUACAUCACAGGGUUACAUAGGCAUAAGAUUCUCUUUUACUAUUUUUUUUCGUUUCUUUCCCGACGGCAGACUACCUUCUUCCUUAUGUCGCGAUCCUUUUAGAUCUAACGAGAUUCUAUAGUCGUUUCACGCGUCUUUUUCACGCUAGGUAGGAAAAAAAAAAAAAAAAAGAAAAGAAAAGAAAA
Bombus huntii is the source of this 5971-nucleotide long non-coding RNA. RefSeq lists it as uncharacterized. The transcript has 2 exons. The record is from RefSeq and is a predicted model, not a curated record. Lineage: Eukaryota; Metazoa; Arthropoda; Insecta; Hymenoptera; Apidae.